RNAcentral lists this ribosomal RNA (221 nucleotides) under uncultured bacterium. Its description in RNAcentral is "partial 16S ribosomal RNA". It matches the Rfam family "Bacterial small subunit ribosomal RNA", at positions 328 to 539 of the family's 1533-position model. The record is from RNAcentral.
ACGCUCGACACCUACGGGAGGCAGCAGUAGGGAAUCUUCCACAAUGGACGCAAGUCUGAUGGAGCAACGCCGCGUGAGUGAAGAAGGUUUUCGGAUCGUAAAGCUCUGUUGUUGGUGAAGAAGGAUAGAGGUAGUAACUGGCCUUUAUUGACGGUAAUCAACCAGAAAGUCACGGCUAACUACGUGCCACAGCCGCGGUAAUCUGAGCGGGCUGGCAAGGC